GAACUACUAGGCGAAAAGGGCACGUAUGCGGUGAAUUCCGCAAGUUGAGCUAGCGGAAUGCUUUCAAAACCAAUUUACUAGAGUAAGGCAUAGAGGUAAGCAGAAUUUUGUGUGUAGCGAUAAAAUGCAAAAAUAUACAAAGGAACGUCAAAUGCAAAGGCAACUUUCUGGUUCUUUAAUUUACGCUAAAGUGUAAAAUCAAGGGGAGCAAACACGAUUUAGAUACCCCGAUAGUCUAUGCUGUUAACGAUGAGUGUUUGUUCUUGGUCUACUGAUAUAGCUUUAUGGCUUUGUAUGCGCUUGGUGGAAAAAAGAUGUUGAGCUUUUUGCUUAACAUGGACUCCGGGUCCUUUUUCUUUUUCAUUCUGCAAUUUGGGUAUAAAGCUAUAUGCUUCGCC
Molecule: non-coding RNA, 398 nt
Filed under: Marchantia polymorpha subsp. ruderalis
Lineage: Eukaryota; Viridiplantae; Streptophyta; Marchantiopsida; Marchantiales; Marchantiaceae
Description: Bacterial small subunit ribosomal RNA
Rfam family: Bacterial small subunit ribosomal RNA
Source: Rfam by way of RNAcentral